Molecule: long non-coding RNA, 753 nt
Organism: Sander lucioperca (pikeperch)
Lineage: Eukaryota; Metazoa; Chordata; Actinopteri; Perciformes; Percidae
Exons: 2
Source: RefSeq, a predicted model, not a curated record
ACUAAUAAACGUUUAUUGUGUACAGAUUCCUUCUAGACAAUUAAGGAUUUGUCUGAGUGUAACAGAAAGUUAGUGACAGAAACAACCCAAGAUAGUCCUGUCUCUAUGUAUGUAAUCACAUUGCAAAAUAAUACAAUCAACCCACUAGCACUUCAUCAAAUGCCUCUUGGAAUUUAUGACGAUAAGGACAAUUUCUCAUUGAAUAUUGGUUAUAGCCUUUAUUGGCUGAGUUUACUUAAAUAGUCAGUGGUGCUCACAACUUUUGAUACCACUUUGAAAAUUCUAAAUGUCAGUUGUCCAUACAUGGCCUUAGACAUGUUAUGGGUCCCUGUAAAUAUUUGCAACAUCAGUUACCAUUUUAAUGGGUGAAAUAAUGGCUUGGUUACAACUCAUUAUUUUAAAAUGGUUUUAUUCCCCCACAUGGCUUUGAAAUUCAAACCAUUCAUCAAUUUGAGGACGAGCAGUCCUAAUGUUUAGGGAUUCUGCACAGUACUGUACCAAGGAUUUGCAGAUAUUGAUACAUUCCACUAGGGCUGGGACAACACACACAUCCCAAUUCUGUUCUUUCUAGGGGUGGGGGGGGACAAUUCUUAGCUGCGUUGCGAUUCUCCAACGAUUCAAUGCAUGAUUCUGAUAAGUUAAUCUAUUUAUUUUAUUUAAGUUACUGUUUCCAGACAAGUACAAAUCAAGAAACAGUGACUGAAAGAGGAUGGGAUAAUGGACAAAAACUUGGAGUUUAGGCUAGAGUGCAGA